GGAUACGGUCAUACCAGCACUAAAGCACCGUAUCCCAUCAGAACUCCGAACUUAAGAGUGCUUGGGCGAGAGUAGUACGAGGAUGGGUGACCUCCUGGGAAGUCCUCGUGUUGCAUUUU
This 119-nucleotide ribosomal RNA is filed under the name Brachypodium distachyon (stiff brome). Lineage: Eukaryota; Viridiplantae; Streptophyta; Magnoliopsida; Poales; Poaceae. The record is from RNAcentral.